UACGUAGGGGGCUAGCGUUGUCCGGAAUCAUUGGGCGUAAAGCGCGUGUAGGCGGUCCGGUAAGUCCGCUGUGAAAGUCGGGGGCUCAACCCUCGAAUGCCGGUGGAUACUGUCGGGCUAGAGUGCGGAAGGAGGCGAGUGGAAUUCCGUGGUGAUAGCGGUGAAAUGCGCAGAUAUACAACUUGGAACGCCAACGGUGAAAACAGCUCGCUGGGGGUAUCCUGAACGCUGAGACGACGAAAGCCAGGGGAGCAAAGCGGG
This 261-nucleotide ribosomal RNA is filed under the name uncultured bacterium. RNAcentral describes it as "partial 16S ribosomal RNA". It matches the Rfam family "Bacterial small subunit ribosomal RNA", at positions 524 to 777 of the family's 1533-position model. The record is from RNAcentral.